Molecule: transfer RNA, 96 nt
Filed under: Methylobacterium crusticola
Lineage: Bacteria; Pseudomonadati; Pseudomonadota; Alphaproteobacteria; Hyphomicrobiales; Methylobacteriaceae
Description: tRNA-Ile
Source: RNAcentral
GUCGCUGUGCGACGAGGAACGUGGGUUCGUUAGAUCAAUGAAUUAGUUGAGCCUUCCAAGCUGAUGACGAGGGUUCGAUUCCCUUCACCCGCUCCA